GGGAUAUAUUUCAGUGAUAGAACACUUGCCUUGAAUGCACAAGGCCCUGGGUUUGAUCCCCAGUACCCA
RNAcentral lists this transfer RNA (69 nucleotides) under Marmota monax (woodchuck). RNAcentral's name for it is "tRNA.Ser". The record is from RNAcentral. Lineage: Eukaryota; Metazoa; Chordata; Mammalia; Rodentia; Sciuridae.